RNAcentral lists this transfer RNA (71 nucleotides) under Synergistaceae bacterium. RNAcentral describes it as "tRNA-Gln". It matches the Rfam family "tRNA". From Rfam's summary of the family: Transfer RNA (tRNA) molecules are approximately 80 nucleotides in length. Lineage: Bacteria; Thermotogati; Synergistota; Synergistia; Synergistales; Synergistaceae. The record is from RNAcentral.
UGAGGUGUAGCCAAGCGACAAGGCAGCGGACUUUGGCUCCGUCAUAGUUGGUUCGAAUCCAGCCACCCCAG